GACGAACGCUGGCGGCGUGCUUAACACAUGCAAGUCGAACGGAAAGGCCCUGCUUUUGUGGGGUGCUCGAGUGGCGAACGGGUGAGUAACACGUGAGUAACCUGCCCUUGACUUUGGGAUAACUUCAGGAAACUGGGGCUAAUACCGGAUAGGAGCUCCUGCUGCAUGGUGGGGGUUGGAAAGUUUCGGCGGUUGGGGAUGGACUCGCGGCUUAUCAGCUUGUUGGUGGGGUAGUGGCUUACCAAGGCUUUGACGGGUAGCCGGCCUGAGAGGGUGACCGGGCACAUUGGGACUGAGAUACGGCCCAGAGUCCUACGGCAGGCAGCAGUGGGGACUAUUGCACGCUGGGCGGAAGGCUGAUGCAGCAACGCCGCGUGCGGGAUGACGGCCGUCGGGUUGUAACCCGCUUUCGCCUGUGACGAAGCGUGAGUGACGGUAAUGGGUAAAGAAGCACCGGCUAACUACGUG
This 468-nucleotide ribosomal RNA is filed under the name uncultured bacterium. RNAcentral's name for it is "partial 16S ribosomal RNA". It matches the Rfam family "Bacterial small subunit ribosomal RNA", at positions 28 to 507 of the family's 1533-position model. The record is from RNAcentral.